CCUACGGGAGGCAGCAGUGAGGAAUAUUGGUCAAUGGCCGCAGGGCUGAACCAGCCAAGUCGCGUGAGGGAUGACGGUCCUAUGGAUUGUAAACCUCUUUUGUCAGGGAGCAAAGGGCGCCACGUGUGGCGCUUUGCGAGUACCUGAAGAAAAAGCAUCGGCUAACUCCGUGCCAGCAGCCGCGGUAAUACGGAGGAUGCGAGCGUUAUCCGGAUUUAUUGGGUUUAAAGGGUGCGCAGGCGGAAGGUCAAGUCAGCGGUAAAAUUUCGGGGCUCAACCCCGUCGUGCCGUUGAAACUGGCGUUCUUGAGUGAGCGAGAAGUAGGCGGAAUGCGUGGUGUAGCGGUGAAAUGCAUAGAUAUCACGCAGAACUCCGAUUGCGAAGGCAGCAUACCGGCGCUCAACUGACGCUCAUGCACGAAAGCGUGGGUAUCGAACAGGAUUAGAUACCCGAGUAGUC
This 459-nucleotide ribosomal RNA is filed under the name uncultured bacterium. Its description in RNAcentral is "partial 16S ribosomal RNA". It matches the Rfam family "Bacterial small subunit ribosomal RNA", at positions 338 to 795 of the family's 1533-position model. The record is from RNAcentral.